Molecule: transfer RNA, 73 nt
Filed under: Phycisphaerae bacterium
Lineage: Bacteria; Pseudomonadati; Planctomycetota; Phycisphaerae
Also listed under: 1 other name
Description: tRNA-Lys
Rfam family: tRNA
About the family: Transfer RNA (tRNA) molecules are approximately 80 nucleotides in length. Their secondary structure includes four short double-helical elements and three loops (D, anti-codon, and T loops). Further hydrogen bonds mediate the characteristic L-shaped molecular structure. tRNAs have two regions of fundamental functional importance: the anti-codon, which is responsible for specific mRNA codon recognition, and the 3' end, to which the tRNAs corresponding amino acid is attached (by aminoacyl-tRNA synthetases). tRNAs cope with the degeneracy of the genetic code in two manners: having more than one tRNA (with a specific anti-codon) for a particular amino acid; and 'wobble' base-pairing, i.e. permitting non-standard base-pairing at the 3rd anti-codon position.
Source: RNAcentral
GGGCCGCUAGCUCAGUUGGUAGAGCAGCUGACUCUUAAUCAGCGGGUCACAGGUUCGAGCCCUGUGCGGCCCA